Molecule: non-coding RNA, 24 nt
Filed under: Arabidopsis thaliana (thale cress)
Lineage: Eukaryota; Viridiplantae; Streptophyta; Magnoliopsida; Brassicales; Brassicaceae
Source: RNAcentral
AAGCGGCUGAUCUGAUAACAGUGG